RNAcentral lists this long non-coding RNA (377 nucleotides) under Crocodylus porosus (Australian saltwater crocodile). Its description in RNAcentral is "lncRNA (ENSCPRG00005002402.1)". Lineage: Eukaryota; Metazoa; Chordata; Crocodylia; Crocodylidae. The record is from RNAcentral.
UUUUUCAAAGAACCUGUUUGAAGACAAGCCACUGGUCGGCGGUGAUGUUGGGCUAUCCCAACCUCAACCUUCAGCUGUCCUGUCUGUACGCUGGGUCUAAUGACAUCCCUCCUCUAUAAGGCACCGUCAAAGAGCUUAAGUGAAAGCCAUGAAGCAUUAAGACUGCAUGAGGGUUAUUUUGAGAUCAUCUGAUUUCCUACUAGGAGGUGCUAUGAGAGAUCAUCGCCUUGAAAACCUUCAAAGAGAAUGGUCUGAAAGGGGUUUUUUUGGUGGUGGCAUGUUCCAGAACUUGGAUCAGUUUUACAUUUUCAUUUAGCAUGAGAGAGUUUUUAAACUUGUGUGUCUGUAUAAAAAUAAACUUCCAUCACAGGACUUCA